AUAUUCAUCUUAGAUAAGACACGAAAAACUCCUUUGAACCCGCUGGCAUAACGUUUUUGCGUGCCCUUACGGCAUCAGAAACCAAAUCCGAUAUGUUGGAUUGUGGAAUGCUUUUACCUUCAAUCUUAACCUCUCCCGUAUUAUCCCACGUAACAAGAUCGGGACGUGUCUUUAACCGGUUUAAUUAAAAUGGCUGAUGCUCUUUCUCGCAUUCUCUUCGGAACCGUUUCCACAACCAUUGCAUCCGGUAACAUAUUACUU
Non-coding RNA from Paramuricea clavata, 261 nucleotides. The record is from the annotation of a GenBank genome assembly. NCBI's taxonomy places the organism in Eukaryota, Metazoa, Cnidaria, Anthozoa, Malacalcyonacea, Plexauridae.